This 276-nucleotide long non-coding RNA is filed under the name Elaeis guineensis (African oil palm). RNAcentral's name for it is "long non-coding RNA (EGUI_LNC062310)". The record is from RNAcentral. Lineage: Eukaryota; Viridiplantae; Streptophyta; Magnoliopsida; Arecales; Arecaceae.
CACCCGAUACCAAUGCUAAUGCAUGUGAUGGCGAUAGUCCUUGAAAUACAAUGAUAACUAAAUGUCGAUGGCUCACCUCACACGAUCCUCCUCAAAAUCAGUGAUGUCAAAUACAUCCUGCCAAUAAUAAAUAUUAAAAAAAUACUAUGCAAAUUAAAUAUUCAUAAUAUAAUUUAUUUUACUUAUAAGUGGGUGUAGAAAAUCUUUCUCUAAGCCAGUAGAAUGUGAUGCCAAUCAAAAAACGUCACGGGGGCAUAACUAUAGUAUAUGAUACCC